Molecule: unclassified non-coding RNA, 1197 nt
Filed under: Leishmania donovani
Lineage: Eukaryota; Euglenozoa; Kinetoplastea; Trypanosomatida; Trypanosomatidae
Description: gene:LdHU3.26.3250(CDS-product:hypothetical_prote in_conserved)
Source: RNAcentral
UGUGUGGUCCUGUGGUGUUGUUCCGCGUUUUUGGUGGUGCUGAGACACACCUGCCGCCGCUUCUCCAGCGCACGCCCUUCCUCUUCCUCAACCUUGACGCACCGCUCGUCACCCACGCACACGCAAACGCCCCCUUCCACCAUUUGCUGCCCCGCUGCCUCCGCAGCUACUCUUUCUGUGCCUGUGCGCGUGCGUGUACUUUUCGGUAUUGUUUUCAGCUGUUUGCCGAUGAGUGCCGCGCGCGAAGACUCGGCGCCGUGCGCCGUUCCGUCCAAGCUGUGGCGCGAAUGCCUGAAGCAGUACGACUAUGGACCGGACAGGCCGAAGGGCGCCUGCGAGGCGCACCGCACGAAGUUCUACGACUGCGUCAAGGACUGGACGGCGCGGACGCAGCACAAGUCAUACUCUUACACACAGUUCGAACUCCCCAAGUCGUGCGGCCACGAGGCGGAAAAGCUGCACCAGUGCAUGAUGAUGAACAUGUUUGAGGUGAGCCACUGUCAGCGAGAUAUGGCGGUGCUAAAGCGGUGCGCGGCGCGUGCCGACCCGGAGGUGCGCAAGUACCUGCAAGACGAUGAAGCGAUCGCGGACCUCGAAAACGACAUUGAGGAGGCUACUGGACUGAAGCGCCUCUGGUACAAGGCGAUUGGCAAGCUCUAGUAGCCCUCUCGCCGCGACUACGACGAGGCGACGUGUAAGGAGUUGAUUGGCAUCGACGUGUGCGUGUGGGCGUCAGGGCCGCAGGGGAGCAAUGCAACGAUGUGCCGCGCCGCGCCUGUGGCUAUCGUUGUUGUCAUCACAUGAAAAGAGAAACCGGAGAAAAGGGUGUGAGGGUGGUAGUGGUGGUGGUGGUGGUGGUGGGGGGCGGUUGGACACAUCGAUGCGCGAGUCGCUUUCCUUUCUCUGAUUUCUGCCUGCCGCCGAUCCAAAGAAACGACGUUACGGCGGAAGGGAGCGUGAAGGGAAGCACGGUGUGUGAAGCGGUGUCGUGCUUGAGACACCUGCUCGUAUGAUGUUGGUCUCUCUUGUGCCUUGUCUGCCGCCCCCCCGUGAUGGAUGUCUUGAUGUGUCUGCCUCCCUUUCCCUCUCCCUCGCGCUUUCAAAGCCCUGCCGCAUUAUCUCCAUCCUCUCUUGCGCGGCCUUGUCCCUUCUCUACACCCCCCACCCCCCACGGCGAACGAAACCCACACCAACAAG